UACAGAGGGUGCGAGCGUUGUCCGGAAUCACUGGGCGUAAAGGGCGCGUAGGCGGUCUGCUAAGUUGGAUGUGAAAACUCUGGGCUUAACCCAGAGCCUGCAUUCAAUACUGACAGGCUAGAGUUCUGGAGGGGAUAGCGGAAUUCCUGGUGUAGCGGUGAAAUGCGUAGAUAUCAGGAGGAACACCGGUGGCGAAGGCGGGUCUCUGGGCCGAUACUGACGCUGAGGAGCGAAAGCGUGGGGAGCGAACAGG
Molecule: ribosomal RNA, 253 nt
Filed under: uncultured bacterium
Lineage: Bacteria
Description: partial 16S ribosomal RNA
Rfam family: Bacterial small subunit ribosomal RNA
Source: RNAcentral